Molecule: ribosomal RNA, 242 nt
Filed under: uncultured bacterium
Lineage: Bacteria
Description: partial 16S ribosomal RNA
Rfam family: Bacterial small subunit ribosomal RNA
Source: RNAcentral
CGACCGGCGCACGGGUGAGUAACACGUAUCCAACCUGCCGUCUACUCUUGGACAGCCUUCUGAAAGGAAGAUUAAUACAAGAUGGCAUCAUGAGUCCGCAUGUUCACAUGAUUAAAGGUAUUCCGGUAGACGAUGGGGAUGCGUUCCAUUAGAUAGUAGGCGGGGUAACGGCCCACCUAGUCUUCGAUGGGUAGGGGUUCUGAGAGGAAGGUCCCCCACAUUGGAACUGGGACACGGUCCAA